UCUCCAAUGAAGCCGUGGUAGGUCCAACAGACCCUGGCAAGCCCUGGCAAGCCCUGCUAAAUCUGUCAGCUAAGGAAGAACUCACCUCCUUCCCCCAAACCCAAACCCACCCUCCUCCCUCCUAGUUGCAUCAGUCAGUCCCCUCCAGGAUCCUGUUCUCAGUCCUGGGACCUCCUGUCGUCGGGAUAAAAUGGGCCUGGGGCCCCUGAGGGUGCAGGCCCGGGGUUCCCCGAUGCAUUUCGGAACAGACCUUGCAGAGCCUGGAGGCUCCCUGCACGGGGGCCGGCAGCUUCCGGCAGCCGAGUCCCUUCCCGGCUCCGAGGGCGGAAGAACAGCAGGAAGGCCGCCCUUCCUGUACUUGACCGCCAUCUCGCUCUCUCCCUGCCGCCUCUUUCUCGGGUCACUCCCCGGGCCCGGUCCGAGGGCCCGCGCCCCUUCCCUUCCUGCGAUCGCCAGGCCGGGGUUCCGCGGAGUCGGGGCGGGCGGAGCGCUCAUCCCGCGCGCUCCCUGCCUCCCAGCAGCCCCCGCGCGCGAGGCGGCGGCCGAGGCUGCAACCUCUACAGGCGGCCGCGGGGUGGCGCUGCCGCCGGGUCGGUGAGGAGGCGGGUCGGCCCUACCCCGUUUCUAUCCCCCGGUCCGCCUCCGCCCUUCCCACCCACCUCCCGCCCUGGCCUCGGGAGGGUGUUUCAACUCCGCGGCCCCGAGGCUGCAGCCGUUGCCUUUGGCUUCCGGCGAUGCUUCCUUCCUCCCGCUGCGGAGCCAGCGUCUCACACCGGCGCCCACGGCGAGAGUGAAGGGGAGAGGACAUUCUCGUCCACAGGUGAGGGAAGCAGGGGACCCAGCUGCUCUUCCAUCCACUUCCCGUCCCAAGCUGCUCGAAGGUGCUGCCAGGUGGUGGGUGUUGGAGAUAGAACAGACCAUGAAACCAGACAGAAGUUGGUGACUGGAGGAGGCCUGUAAAAGAAAAUGACAAAGAAGAAAUGCCAUUCAGAAACCAGAGGGAUCUGACUGAGUUAUGUGGAAGACAAGGCUGGCUGAGACCUGCUAUGCCUGUCCCCAGUGGAGACACUGAUCAUUUCAGGGGCAGGAAGGAGCUGGAGGUGGCUCCAGCUGGGCUACAUGGCAUAGGGACAAGGGGCAGGCUCCUCAUAAGACCUGAACUGCCAGGGCCCUGUCAGUGGACAGAGACAACGGCUAUUUCUAUAUAAUACUUGAAAUGAAUUUGGAUUGAAGAUAAACAUUUUCCCC
Molecule: RNA transcript, 1248 nt
Organism: Myotis daubentonii (Daubenton's bat)
Lineage: Eukaryota; Metazoa; Chordata; Mammalia; Chiroptera; Vespertilionidae
Gene: H2BC18
Gene name: histone H2B type 2-F-like
Exons: 3
Source: RefSeq, a predicted model, not a curated record